Molecule: long non-coding RNA, 302 nt
Organism: Lytechinus pictus (painted urchin)
Lineage: Eukaryota; Metazoa; Echinodermata; Echinoidea; Temnopleuroida; Toxopneustidae
Exons: 3
Source: RefSeq, a predicted model, not a curated record
GAAGCAAAUUUACAUGGCGUGUGUAGGCAGUGGCGGGACUGAAGUGGACGUGAUGGGAUGAGAUAACCUCGACUUUAUUCACUAAGAUCCCUUUUUUGCAUCUUAUUGCAUGGAUGUGCAAGGUUGAAAAUUUCGUAGUCCAUCUUAAACGUCUAAAGGCAGUCUUAAGAUGUACAUUAAACAGGUAACGAUACAAGGGUUUCGAUCCUACAGGGAUCAGACUAUUGUGGAUCCCUUCAGUCCCAAGCAUAAUGUUGUUGUUGGUAGAAAUGGAUCUGGAAAAAGCAACUUUUUCUAUGGUA